This 494-nucleotide ribosomal RNA is filed under the name uncultured bacterium. Its description in RNAcentral is "bacterial SSU rRNA". It matches the Rfam family "Bacterial small subunit ribosomal RNA", at positions 26 to 518 of the family's 1533-position model. The record is from RNAcentral.
AGGAUGAACGCUGGCGGCGUGCCUAACACAUGCAAGUCGAACGGAAACUAAGCGCUUCGGAGACUUCGGUCAAUGUUUGCUUGGUUUAGUGGCGGACGGGUGAGUAACGCGUGGAUAACCUGCCUCAUACAGGGGGAUAACAGUUAGAAAUGACUGCUAAUACCGCAUAAGCGCACAGUUUCGCAUGGAACAGUGUGAAAAACUCCGGUGGUAUGAGAUGGAUCCGCGUCUGAUUAGCUAGUUGGCGGGGUAACAGCCCACCAAGGCGACGAUCAGUAGCCGGCCUGAGAGGGUGAACGGCCACAUUGGGACUGAGACACGGCCCAAACUCCUACGGGAGGCAGCAGUGGGGGAUAUUGCACAAUGGGGGAAACCCUGAUGCAGCGACGCCCGCGUGAGUGAAGAAGUAUUUCGGUAUGUAAAGCUCUAUCAGCAGGGAAGAUAAUGACGGUACCUGACUAAGAAGCACCGGCUAAAUAUGUGCCAGCAGCCGC